AGUGAACGCUGGCGGUAGGCCUAACACAUGCGAGUCGAACGGCAGCACAGUAAGAGCUUGCUCUUACGGGUGGCGAGUGGCGGACGGGUGAGGAAUACAUCGGAAUCUACUUUUUCGUGGGGGAUAACGUAGGGAAACUUACGCUAAUACCGCAUACGACCUACGGGUGAAAGCAGGGGAUCUUCGGACCUUGCGCGAUUGAAUGAGCCGAUGUCGGAUUAGCUAGUUGGCGGGGUAAAGGCCCACCAAGGCGACGAUCCGUAGCUGGUCUGAGAGGAUGAUCAGCCACACUGGAGCUGAGACGCGGUCCAGACUCCUACGGGAGGCAGCAGUGGGGAAUAUUGGACAAUGGGCGCAAGCCUGAUCCAGCCAUACCGCGUGGGUGAAGAAGGCCUUCGGUUGUAAAGCCCUUUUGUUGGGAAAGAAAAGCAGCAGGUUAAUACCCCGCUGUUCUGACGGUACCCAAAGAAUAAGCACCGGCUAACUUCGUG
This 491-nucleotide ribosomal RNA is filed under the name uncultured bacterium. RNAcentral describes it as "partial 16S ribosomal RNA". It matches the Rfam family "Bacterial small subunit ribosomal RNA", at positions 29 to 507 of the family's 1533-position model. The record is from RNAcentral.